Mycena galopus ATCC 62051 is the source of this 89-nucleotide non-coding RNA. NCBI's taxonomy places the organism in Eukaryota, Fungi, Basidiomycota, Agaricomycetes, Agaricales, Mycenaceae. The record is from the annotation of a GenBank genome assembly.
GCCGUCGUUGACCGUGGGGUCGCCUUCAUGUCAUUUGAGUUCCAAAAGAAGUGCAGACGGAGUCGGUGGUUCGAAUCCUCCCGACGGCA